Physeter macrocephalus (sperm whale) is the source of this 4014-nucleotide long non-coding RNA. RefSeq lists it as uncharacterized. Lineage: Eukaryota; Metazoa; Chordata; Mammalia; Artiodactyla; Physeteridae. The record is from RefSeq and is a predicted model, not a curated record. The transcript is spliced from 4 exons.
CAACUCCACGUUCAGUGAAGUCGUGCUGGGAGCUUGAAAUCAGCCACCACGGGAGUGUUUAUGCCCCAGAAAUUGGCAAAUGUAAACAUCAGAGCUCCCCGCUUGCCGAGAGCCUGUCAAACAGUUAGCAGCAAACUAGAUUAAAACCAAUAUACGGAUAAUACGUAAUAUGUCAGAUAGCAACAACUACAAUGAAGGAAAAUAAAGUCGGUCGAGGGAGGCACCUCCUACUGUGAUGGAGUAAAGCUGGGAAGCCAGGAGACUAGGGAGGAGACCGCUGUCACAGUCCAAGCAGAGGAGGAAACUGAGGCACCGAGAGGGAAAGUCACUCUUCAGUGGUCACUCAAGAUUCUGACUCCCCGGUUGAGGUUCUUAAGCCACAUCCCUCCUCCAAAUCUGUAUUUCCACCAAGAAAAAUGACGUGUGAUGAAGGAGCUAAAGCAGCCAUUUUGGACUUCACUGGAAGCUGUGGAAUGAAGAUACUAGAGCAACUAGACCGAAGGAACCAGGGUUUCUAGAAUGAACUUGCAGAACUAAACCAGCUCACCAAACUUGGACCUUCCACCUCUGUGCUGGAAUUUAAAUUUUGUCCCAUUGGGCCACUGUGGCUGUGUGUUAUAGCAGCUCAGAUGUAGCCUGAUUUAUACAGAGGGGUAAACACAUGUUGUUGGGGAAGCCUCAGAGGUGUUAACCCAGGCUGACAGGGGUAGGUGUGGAGGGCUUACUGGAGGAGACAACUUUUAGAUGGAGGCUUGACAAUGAGAAGACAGAUUUUCCUAGACAAAGUUUCCAGGGAGAUGCAUAGCAUACGGGUAAAUCUGGAGGCAAGAGAGAACAUGGAGCUUUCAGGACACCUAAAGGAGCUGAGGGUGGCUGGAUCACAGGGAACGAUGGGGACAGGUGAAAAUGGGGCUGUAUGGGUGGCAGGAUUUACUUGAAGGGCCUAGAAAAGCCAUGUGAAGCCCUUUGAAUUUUUCCCUGAGGGUAAAGGGGAGCCACUGGAGGCUUGAGGCAGGAGGGUGAGGUGAUUAGAUUUGCUUCUUAGAAAGAUCUCUAUGGCUACGGGGUGGGAAAUGGAUUUAUUCAUUUAUUUUUUUAAAAACACAGGCUGUGCUACGUGCCAGGCACUGAGGAUUAUCAGUGAACAAAACAGAUUUGGUUCCUAUCCUUAUGGAAUUUGCAACCUGGUGGGGUGAGACAUGAGUCAAAUAACGAUGUAAAUAAACACGAAGCAUGAUAAGGCCAAUGCAGGGAGGUAUGCAUGGCUGUGAGGAGAUAUAAAGUGGGGGUUGACUUGGGGGAGUCAGAAGAGUUUCCCAGGGAAAGGUGAUGGAGGAACAGCGGUGGGAAAGGUGAUGGAGGAACAGCGGUGGGAAAGGUUCCAGGCCAAGGGAACAGCACAGGCAUAUGAGCCCAGACGGCCGCAGGGAGAACAAGGAGGGUCAAACUAAGGUGCUGGUAAAGAUGGAGAAAUACAGGCAUAGAUGGUGAGGAGAAGCAGGGAAUCCCCAUGGCCAGCCAGCUUCUGGCUUGAGCAAGGUGGGCAACAGCAGAGAAGGAAUGAGGAUGGAGAGGGAAUUGGAAGUGAAGACCCUGAGUUCAAAUACGCUAUGUUGGAUGUGAGGUUCCUAUGAGCCUUCCAAGUGGAGAUGGUGAGUGGGUGGUUGGAUAUAGGGGUCUGGCUGCAGAGCGGCUCCCCGGCCAAUUGUAGCUGUGGUCAUCCCAUGCAUGGGCUCCCAGGCCAGAGCUUGCCAAAUGCUGGCUUCGCGGGCACAUAUUGUAUCUCAGGAACUACGCUCAUGGUAGACAUGGUACUUUCCCACUCACGUCUUCUCAGCUAGCAGGGUCCAGUUUUGUUGGAUGUACGUCUACCCAGGUACUCAGGGACAGUUGCCCUCCUCACCUCAGAGUGAGUUAUCAUAGUUCUAAACCAAUGAUGGUCAUUCUCACUUCCCUUUUCAGUGACUGGUUUGAAAUCGGGCAUGUGAUGCAAUCUUGGUCAAUGGGAAGUCUUCAGGGGGCUUCUGGGAACAUCUGUCUCCCUCAUAAAAGGGGACACAUGGAAGAAGAUGCCUUUCCUCUUCUUUACUUGAUGUUAUCAUGUCUGUGUGUGAUGCCUGGGGCUGCAGCAGCCAUCUUGAAACCAUGAGAAAAAUCAUCAGUAAAUUGCUGAGAAUGGCAGAGCAGGAAGAUGGAAAGGAUGUGAGUUUUUAUUUACAUCUUCAUGCCUUCAAAUUAAACAACCAUUAUUAGAUGAAAUUAUGAACUCCCCUGCCAUUGUUUUGCCAUGUUCAUUUACCUUCUAGUCCUUGUGGCUGAACACACUCUAAGAAAGUGCUACAUAUGUGUUGUUUUAUUUAAUCUUCUCAAUUUUCCUCUGAGGUUGGCGUUACUAUUGUAGCCAUUGUAUAAGUGAAGAAACAGGUUCAGGGCAGGUAAGUGACUUUCCCAAGGUCCCAAAGAUAGUAAGUUAUAGAGCUGGGAUUUGAGUCAAGCCUGGUGUGAUUCGAGAGUGCAACUGGGCUAAAGCCACAGUCUCCAUUUAAAAGUCUUUCUCUUAACACAUUUUUAGUAGGAAACCAUAGCCCUGUUCUUAUUUUUCCCUGGAAAACUGUUAUUACGGUUGGUGGGAAAUUUAGAGUGGGCUGCGUUUCUUUGCACACAGUUAAUGUCUUUGAUUAUAUGUUUCUGGCUUCUUCAUUCAGAGAAAGGCUUCCAUUGGUUGUACAAUAUAAUCAAAUCAUUUCUUAUGUAAACAGCCAUCUGGCACAGAGUCAGCGACAGUUCCAUCAGCGGGAAGGUGAAAAUGAAACUGUGUUCCCAGCUCCGGAAAGCAAUCUGCUGUUCAGCAGGAAAAGAUCAAGGGUUAAUGACACGGAGUUGGGCAAAGGCUGCCGCUGUGGCUCUGAGCAUUAUCAGGAGGCGGGAACAAAGAAUGGUUGUUAAAUGGGUUUGUUAGAAAAGUUAUUUCCCAAUGUAAUUCAUGAAACGCUUGUCAGAACAUUAAGCACAUCCUUCGAAAGCACAAGAGAACUUAAAAAAAAAAAGAAGAAGAAUACAGACAGAAAGAAAAGAGGCUUCUGAAGUCAAUUAUGGAACUCUUAGAAAGGGUUAAUAUCCUUAAUAUACAGAGUUCCUGCAAAACAAUAGGAAAAGGAAAACACCUUAUUAUAAAAUUGACUAUUCACAAGUGAAGAAUUACAAAAGGCAGGUAUAUGUGUAAAGCAAGAUCCACCCUGCCAGUAAUCAAGGAAAUGCAAAUAAAAGCUACAAUGAUUUAUCAUUUUCCACCUAUCGGAUUGGCAUAGAAUGGCAAUGCAUACCACAAUGUUCAAUGGGUAGGGAUUUUAAAGCAUUGCAGAAAUCUAACUUUGGGGCACUUAUCCUAAGGAUGUAAUAAGCCAAGCAUUCUCUAGGGACAAGGGUGUUCACUGCAGCAUUGUUUAUCAUAGUGAAAAAUGGGGGAAAAACCCAGAAAUGCCCAACUACAAAGGAUUCAUUAAGUAAACAAUAAAAUACUGUAUUAAAAUUAAAUUGUAUUAAAUAAAUAUUGGAAAUUGUAUUAAAUACUAAUUUAAAAUGGCAAUAUAGAGAGAUGCCACGACAUAUUGUAGAGAAAAAAUUUUUCACACGCAUGAUCUAACUUGUCCUAAGUUGUAUGUGCACCUGCAGGAAUAUUAAAGAGUGUGUAUGCUAAAGGAUGUUUACCAAAAUGGCGGCAGUGUUUAUUUCUAGAUGGUAAAAUUUUCAGUAGUAAUUUUUCCUUUCAUUUAAGUCAGUUUCUCAACCUGGGCACUACUGACAUUUGGGGCCAGAUAAUUUUUUGUUUCCGGGGACUGUCCUGGGCAUUGCAGGAUGUUUAGCACCAUCCCUGGCUUCUACCCACCAGAUGCCAGUAGCACCCAUGACCCCCCGAGUCAUAACAACCAAAAAUGUAUCCAGACAUUGUCACAUGUCUCCUGGGGGACAAAACCGCAGUCGUUUGAGAAGCACUGUUUUAAAUACUUUUCUGCA